GCCUACGGGAGGCAGCAGUGGGGAAUAUUGGACAAUGGGGGGAACCCUGGUCCAGCGACGCCGCGUGAGUGAAGAAGUAUUUCGGUAUGUAAAGCUCUAUCAGCAGGGAAGAAAAUGACGGUACCUGACUAAGAAGCCCCGGCUAACUACGUGCCAGCAGCCGCGGUAAUACGUAGGGGGCAAGCGUUAUCCGGAUUUAAUGGGUGUAAAGGGAGCGUAGACGGUGCAGCAAGUCUGAUGUGAAAGGUCGGGGCGCAACCCCGGCACUGCAUUGGA
This 276-nucleotide ribosomal RNA is filed under the name uncultured bacterium. Its description in RNAcentral is "partial 16S ribosomal RNA". It matches the Rfam family "Bacterial small subunit ribosomal RNA", at positions 337 to 630 of the family's 1533-position model. The record is from RNAcentral.